This 253-nucleotide ribosomal RNA is filed under the name uncultured bacterium. Its description in RNAcentral is "partial 16S ribosomal RNA". It matches the Rfam family "Bacterial small subunit ribosomal RNA", at positions 524 to 776 of the family's 1533-position model. The record is from RNAcentral.
UACGGGGGGGGCACGCGUUGUUCGGCAUUACUGGGCGUAAAGGGCUCGUCGGCGGCCAACUAAGUCGGAUGUGAAAUCCCCAGGCUUAACCUGGGAACUGCAUCCGAUACUGGAUGGCUUGAAUCCGGGAGAGGGAUGCAGAAUUCCAGGUGUAGCGGUGAAAUGCGUAGAUAUCUGGAGGAAUACCGGUGGCGAAGGCGGCAUCCUGGACCGGCAUUGACGCUGAUGAGCGAAAGCUAGGGGAGCAAACGGG